UUAAAUUGAAGAGUUUGAUCAUGGCUCAGAUUGAACGCUGGCGGCAGGCCUAACACAUGCAAGUCGAGCGGAAACGAGUUAUCUGAACCUUCGGGGAACGAUAACGGCGUCGAGCGG
This 117-nucleotide ribosomal RNA is filed under the name Vibrio parahaemolyticus. RNAcentral's name for it is "partial 16S ribosomal RNA". It matches the Rfam family "Bacterial small subunit ribosomal RNA", at positions 1 to 98 of the family's 1533-position model. The record is from RNAcentral. Lineage: Bacteria; Pseudomonadati; Pseudomonadota; Gammaproteobacteria; Vibrionales; Vibrionaceae. RNAcentral also lists the same sequence under 1 other name.